AUAUCAAUAAGCGGAGGAAAAGAAACCAACAGGGAUUGCCUUAGUAGCGGCGAGUGAAGCGGCAAAAGCUCAAAUUUGAAAUCUGGCACUUUCAGUGUCCGAGUUGUAAUUUGAAGAAGGUAACCUUGAGGCUAGCUCUUGUCUAUGUUCCUUGGAACAGGACGUCACAGAGGGUGAGAAUCCCGUGCGAUGAGAUGACUAGUUUCAUGUAAGGUGCUUUCGAAGAGUCGAGUUGUUUGGGAAUGCAGCUCUAAGUGGGUGGUAAAUUCCAUCUAAAGCUAAAUAUUGGCGAGAGACCGAUAGCGAACAAGUACAGUGAUGGAAAGAUGAAAAGAACUUUGAAAAGAGAGUGAAAAAGUACGUGAAAUUGUUGAAAGGGAAGGGCUUGAGAUCAGACUUGGUAUUUUGCGCCCCUACUCUCGGGUGGGGUCUCCGCAGCUUACUGGGCCAGCAUCGGUUUGGACGGUAGGAUAAUGACGAAGGAAUGUGGCUUUGCUUCGGUAAAGUGUUAUAGCCUUAGUUGAUACUGCCAGUCUAGACCGAGGACUGCGAUUUUUCUAGGAUGUUGGCAUAAUGAUCUUAAGUCGC
RNAcentral lists this ribosomal RNA (588 nucleotides) under Meyerozyma elateridarum. RNAcentral describes it as "eukaryotic LSU rRNA". It matches the Rfam family "Eukaryotic large subunit ribosomal RNA", at positions 40 to 648 of the family's 3401-position model. The record is from RNAcentral. Lineage: Eukaryota; Fungi; Ascomycota; Pichiomycetes; Serinales; Debaryomycetaceae.